UUUUCCUUAGCUUAAUUAUUUAGAGCGUUAGUUUGAAGCACUAGAGGCACCAAACUUGGUAGGAGAGA
RNAcentral lists this transfer RNA (68 nucleotides) under Capsala katsuwoni. RNAcentral describes it as "tRNA-Phe". It matches the Rfam family "tRNA". Rfam says of the family: Transfer RNA (tRNA) molecules are approximately 80 nucleotides in length. Their secondary structure includes four short double-helical elements and three loops (D, anti-codon, and T loops). Lineage: Eukaryota; Metazoa; Platyhelminthes; Monogenea; Capsalidea; Capsalidae. The record is from RNAcentral.